GGGGCAGUAGUUCAGUUGGGAGAACAUCCGCUUCGCACGCGGAAGGUCACGGGUUCAAAUCCCGUCUGCUCCA
This 73-nucleotide transfer RNA is filed under the name Elusimicrobiota bacterium. RNAcentral describes it as "Elusimicrobia bacterium (hot springs metagenome) tRNA-Ala". It matches the Rfam family "tRNA". Rfam says of the family: Transfer RNA (tRNA) molecules are approximately 80 nucleotides in length. Lineage: Bacteria; Pseudomonadati; Elusimicrobiota. The record is from RNAcentral.